AUUGAACGCUGGCGGCAUGCUUUACACAUGCAAGUCGGACGGCAGCACAGAGAAGCUUGCUUCUUGGGUGGCGAGUGGCGAACGGGUGAGUAACAUAUCGGAACGUACCGAGCAGUGGGGGAUAACUAAUCGAAAGAUUAGCUAAUACCGCAUAUAUUCUGAGGAAGAAAGCAGGGGACCAUUUGGCCUUGCGCUGUUUGAGCGGCCGAUAUCUGAUUAGCUAGUUGGUGGGGUAAAGGCCUACCAAGGCGACGAUCAGUAGCGGGUCUGAGAGGAUGAUCCGCCACACUGGGACUGAGACACGGCCCAGACUCCUACGGGAGGCAGCAGUGGGGAAUUUUGGACAAUGGGCGCAAGCCUGAUCCAGCCAUGCCGCGUGUCUGAAGAAAGGCCCUUCGGGUUGUAAAGGACUUUUGUCCAGGGAAGAAAAAGGGCGGGGGUAAUACCC
This 448-nucleotide ribosomal RNA is filed under the name Neisseria mucosa. RNAcentral describes it as "bacterial SSU rRNA". It matches the Rfam family "Bacterial small subunit ribosomal RNA", at positions 30 to 467 of the family's 1533-position model. The record is from RNAcentral. Lineage: Bacteria; Pseudomonadati; Pseudomonadota; Betaproteobacteria; Neisseriales; Neisseriaceae.